ACACUUACCUGUAAAGAUUCUG
This 22-nucleotide microRNA is filed under the name Cavia porcellus (domestic guinea pig). RNAcentral's name for it is "cpo-miR-216b-3p". Its record names the gene cpo-miR-216b-3p. Lineage: Eukaryota; Metazoa; Chordata; Mammalia; Rodentia; Caviidae. The record is from miRBase by way of RNAcentral.